GUUAGGAAUAUUGGACAAUGGGCGAAAGCCUGAUCCAGCCAUGCCGCGUGAACGAUGAAGGCCUUCGGGUUGUAAAGUUCUUUAGCCGAUGAUUAUAAUGACUGUAGUCGGAAAAUAAGCCCCGGCUAACUUCGUGCCAGCAGCCGCGGUAAUACGAAGGGGGCGAGCGUUAUUCGGAAUCACUGGGCGUAAAGCGUGCGUAGGCGGUUUUGUAAGUUAGGAGUGAAAGCCCAGGGCUCAACCUUGGAAUUGCUCUUAAAACUGCACGGCUCGAAUCUCGGAGAGGAUAGCGGAAUUUCCAGUGUAGCAGUGAAAUGCGUAGAUAUUGGAAGGAACACCAGUGGCGUAAGCGGCUAUCUGGACGAGUAUUGACGCUGAGGCACGAAAGCGUGGGGAUCAAACAGGAUUAGAAACCCCAGUAGUCC
Molecule: ribosomal RNA, 425 nt
Filed under: uncultured bacterium
Lineage: Bacteria
Description: partial 16S ribosomal RNA
Rfam family: Bacterial small subunit ribosomal RNA
Source: RNAcentral